This 229-nucleotide ribosomal RNA is filed under the name uncultured bacterium. Its description in RNAcentral is "partial 16S ribosomal RNA". It matches the Rfam family "Bacterial small subunit ribosomal RNA", at positions 91 to 334 of the family's 1533-position model. The record is from RNAcentral.
UACAGUGGCGUACGGGUGAGUAACACGUGGGUAAUCUACCUCUUAGUGAGGAAUAACCCUGGGAAACCGGGGCUAAUACCGCAUAAGCCUGAGAAGGGAAAGUCGAAAGACGCUGAGAGAGGAGCCCGCGGCCGAUUAGCUAGUUGGUGAGGUAAGAGCUCACCAAGGCAUAGAUCGGUAGCCGGCCUGAGAGGGCACACGGCCACACUGGCACUGAAACACGGGCCAG